AAAAACAUGUCUUUUUGAUUAUAAUAUAAAGUCUGAUCUGCCCACUGAUAUUUUAUUAAAGGGCCGCAGUAUAUUGACUGUGCAAAGGUAGCAUAAUCAUUUGUCUUUUAAUUGAAGGCUAGAAUGAAUGAUUUGAUGAAAUAUUAACUGUCUCAUUUUAAUAAAAAUAAAAAUUUAAUUUUUUAGUUAAAAAGCUAAAAUUUAAUUAAAAGACGAGAAGACCCUAUAGAUCUUUAUAAUAUUUUAAUUAAUUAAAUUUAUUAUUAUUUAUAUUUAUUUAACAUAUUAUUUUAUUGGGGUGAUAAAAAAAUUUAUUUAACUUUUUUUAAAGAUUAACAUUAAUUUAUGAUAAAUAAUAUUUGAUCCAUUUAUAAUGAUUAUAAGAUUAAGUUACCUUAGGGAUAACAGCGUAAUUUUUUUAGAGAGUUCAUAUCGAUAAAAUAGAUUGCGACCUCGAUGUUGAAUUAAAGUAAAUAUUUAAAUGUAGUAGUUUAAAUUAUAGGUCUGUUCGACCUUUAAAUCUUUACAUGAUCUGAG
This 537-nucleotide ribosomal RNA is filed under the name Trichoscelia iridella. Its description in RNAcentral is "partial 16S ribosomal RNA". The stretch from base 401 to 537 matches the Rfam family "Bacterial large subunit ribosomal RNA", at positions 2473 to 2609 of the family's 2925-position model. Lineage: Eukaryota; Metazoa; Arthropoda; Insecta; Neuroptera; Mantispidae. The record is from RNAcentral.